AGGCUGGGGGAGAAGUUAAAGCCAGAGGAGGGGCAGGAAUGUCUGAGGUGGCAACACUUCUCUUCAGCCAGACAGCACUGGCCAGUUUGGAGUCUGUCCAUCCUGCAGGCCACAAGCUCUGGAUGAGGAACUUGAGGCAAGUCACCAGCCCCUGAUCAUUUCGCCUAAAAGAGCAAGGACUAGAGUUCCUGACCUCCAGGCCAGUCCCUGAUCCCUGACCUAAUGUUAUCGCGGAAUGAUGGUAAGUAAAGUGUCUCUUGCAUCUGCAUAGAGAGAGUCCUGGGAGCUUAGGAAGUGAUGGGGAACAGUGAUGUAUGCAGCUCAUGACUAGGUGGACAGGCCUCUGGGGACAGCUGGUACAGGAGGGAAAGGGACCUCACGGGAGGCCCAGAAACCUGGUAAGAGGUGAGGUAUUAAGGUCUGGGAUGGAGAAGCUCUGAGGGUAUAUUUUUCUGCCUCUAAAACUGUUGGAGAGGGAAUCUGAGAAAGCUGCAACCAACCAGGAGGCUGGGGUACGCUGGAGAAGGAAUGGGCUUCCUAACCUUGAGCCCUCUUCCCUGAAGAUAUAUGUAUCUACGGGGGCCUGGGGCUGGGCGGGCUCCUGCUUCUGGCAGUGGUCCUUCUGUCCGCCUGCCUGUGUUGGCUGCAUCGAAGAGGUGAGCGCUGCACUCCCUCCCUCCCCCUGCAGCAGUGCCCCCUGUGCCCCCACCCCCACACGCUUUCCCACUGCUUUCCCAGAACACUGCCUGGCCCUGGAGCCACUGGGAAGCCAACAGGGGAGUCCACGCCUGCUGGUGGGGGGAGCCCGGGAGGGCCCGGGAGAAGCACAAAGGGUGGGCUGUGUUGAGCUUCUUCUUUUCUUCCAGUAAAGAGGCUGGAGAGGAGCUGGGUGAGUCUGGGGACAGGGAAGGGGGAGGGCAAGAGAGAUCCUGAGUGGGUGAGUGGGGAGAAGCAUGGCUGAGCGCUGAGAGGAGGGUUGGGGACGGGAGACAAGGAGAGAGAAAGUAGGAGCAUGAGAGAGGCAGAGAAAAUCGAGGCAAAAGAGAAAGAGAAAAUGAGACAGAAACCAAGAGAAAAAGUGAGACAGAGGAUAGGAGAGACAGGGAGAAAAUGAGAGUGAGAGAGACACAAAGAGAAGAGCAAUGAAAGAGAGAGAGAGAGAGAGGCUCCAGAACCAGGCACAGUGGCUCACGUCUGUCAUUCCAGCUAUCGCAAGGCUGAGGCAGGAAGAUAGCUUGAGCUCAGGGGUUGAAGACAAUCCUGGACAACAUAGUGGGACUCUGUCUCCAAAGAAAAAAGAGAGAGAGAGAGAGAGAGAGAGAGAGGGAGAGAGAGAGAGAGAGAGGGAGAGAAGUAAGAAAGGCUGGAGGUGGGAGCAGAACUCACAGGGAAGGAUCUGACGGCAUCGCCUCCCAUCAGCACCUUCUGUCCUGGUCCCAGGCCCAGGGCUCCUCAGAGCAGGAACUCCACUAUGCAUCUCUGCAGAGGCUGCCAGUGCCCAGCAGUGAGGGACCUGACCUCAGGGGCAGAGACAAGAGAGGCACCAAGGAGGAUCCAAGAGCUGACUAUGCCUGCAUUGCUGAGAACAAACCCACCUGAGCACCCCAGACACCUUCCUCAACCCAGGCGGGUGGACAGGGUCCCCCUGUGGUCCAGCCAGUAAAAACCAUGGUCCCCCCACUUCUGUGUCUCAGUCCUCUCAGUCCAUCUCGAGCCUCCGUUCAAAUUGAUCAUCAUCAAAACUUAUGUGGCUUUUUGACCUUUGAAUAGGGAAUUUUUUAAAUUUUUUAAAAAUUAAAAUAAAAAAAACACAUGGCUCACCCUUCCACCCA
Molecule: long non-coding RNA, 1832 nt
Filed under: Homo sapiens (human)
Lineage: Eukaryota; Metazoa; Chordata; Mammalia; Primates; Hominidae
Description: long non-coding RNA NONHSAT116426
Source: RNAcentral